Long non-coding RNA from Nanorana parkeri, 238 nucleotides. RefSeq lists it as uncharacterized. The transcript has 4 exons. The record is from RefSeq and is a predicted model, not a curated record. Lineage: Eukaryota; Metazoa; Chordata; Amphibia; Anura; Dicroglossidae.
UUUAGAAUUCCAAACAUGUUUCCCGUAUUGUCACUGUCUUUACUUUUACAUUUUACUCUUUUUGGUUUCCAUGAAAAGUUGAUCAAGUAACAAAUGCUGCAUGUGGCUUACUCUGGAUUUUUCUCAAAGCCCUCUGUGCACAUGGAAGAGCUGGAUGAAUUGGGUCACACAAGGAACAUCUGGGCUCUACAGUUUAUUUUAUUUAAUUUUUUUUCCUCCCAAAGUAGGAGUUCUUCAC